AUGAGAGCAAAGAUGGCGAAGGUAAUGGCCACCAACAUCUUUGUUUGUAUGAAUCCUCAUGGCCAAGUCUGCCUAUUCAAGCAUGAACUGCUUUACACUCUUCAGCUUAACCUGGCAGUGCACCAGCUAUCAAAGGCACUCCUAUCAGCUUGGCACAGCAUACUUACUGGAACCUUGCAGGCCACAACUCUAGCAGCACCUUGGGUCUGGGGAAAACACAUCACUCCAGCCAAUGAGCACAUGAUUCCCACCGGAGAACUAAUCCCCAUCAAGGACACGCCUUUCGAUUUCACCACAUGCCUUUAG
This 306-nucleotide ribosomal RNA is filed under the name Triticum aestivum (bread wheat). RNAcentral describes it as "partial small subunit ribosomal RNA". The record is from RNAcentral. Lineage: Eukaryota; Viridiplantae; Streptophyta; Magnoliopsida; Poales; Poaceae.